This 255-nucleotide ribosomal RNA is filed under the name Zobellella taiwanensis. RNAcentral describes it as "partial 23S ribosomal RNA". It matches the Rfam family "Bacterial large subunit ribosomal RNA", at positions 213 to 514 of the family's 2925-position model. Lineage: Bacteria; Pseudomonadati; Pseudomonadota; Gammaproteobacteria; Aeromonadales; Aeromonadaceae. The record is from RNAcentral.
GAGGAACAGAAAUCAACCGAGAUUCCGUUAGUAGCGGCGAGCGAACGCGGACCAGCCCUUAAGCAGCUUGAGUGAUAGUGGAACGGUCCUGGAAAGGCCGGCGAUACCGGGUGAUAGCCCCGUACACAAAAUGGCUCUUGCUGUGAAAUCGAGUAGGACGGGACACGUGAUAUCCUGUCUGAACAUGGGGGGACCAUCCUCCAAGGCUAAAUACUCCUGACUGACCGAUAGUGAACCAGUACCGUGAGGGAAAGG